UACGUAGGGUGUGAGCGUUGUCCGGAAUUAUUGGGCGUAAAGAGCUUGUAGGCGGUCUGUCGCGUCUGCUGUGAAAAUCCGGGGCUCAACCCCGGACUUGCAGUGGGUACGGGCAGACUAGAGUGUGGUAGGGGAGACUGGAAUUCCUGGUGUAGCGGUGAAAUGCGCAGAUAUCAGGAGGAACACCGAUGGCGGAGGCAGGUCUCUGGGCCACUACUGACGCUGAGAAGCGAAAGCAUGGGGAGCGAACAGG
RNAcentral lists this ribosomal RNA (253 nucleotides) under uncultured bacterium. Its description in RNAcentral is "partial 16S ribosomal RNA". It matches the Rfam family "Bacterial small subunit ribosomal RNA", at positions 524 to 776 of the family's 1533-position model. The record is from RNAcentral.